Molecule: ribosomal RNA, 465 nt
Filed under: uncultured bacterium
Lineage: Bacteria
Description: partial 16S ribosomal RNA
Rfam family: Bacterial small subunit ribosomal RNA
Source: RNAcentral
GACGAACGCUGGCGGCGUGCUUAACACAUGCAAGUCGAACGGUGAACUCCGCUUGCGGGGGGAUCAGUGGCGCACGGGUGAGUAACACGUGGGCAACCUGCCCUCAGCUCUGGGAUAACUCCAAGAAAUUGGGGCUAAUACCGGAUAUGACCGCUGACCGCAUGGUCUGGUGGUGGAAAGAUUUAUCGGCUGGGGAUGGGCCCGCGGCCUAUCAGCUUGUUGGUGGGGUAGUGGCCUACCAAGGCGACGACGGGUAGCCGGCCUGAGAGGGUGACCGGCCACACUGGGACUGAGACACGGCCCAGACUCCUACGGGAGGCAGCAGUGGGGAAUAUUGCGCAAUGGGCGAAAGCCUGACGCAGCGACGCCGCGUGGGGGAUGACGGCCUUCGGGUUGUAAACCCCUUUCAGCAGGGACGAAGCGAAAGUGACGGUACCUGCAGAAGAAGCACCGGCCAACUACGUG